AGGGGUGACGGACAGGAAGUGAGGCAGAACCCUCACUUGUUAGAGAGUUGUAAGUGUGGGUAACAGUAGCCCUUGUUAGUAAUCAUUGUUCUUGGACAAGCAAAAUACGGUGGUACAGAGUAUUGAAAUAAACAUGUUUAAUGAAGAUCACGGUUAAAAAUUAUUUAAGGUGCUAGCAUAAAUGCUAACAGGUGUAUAAAUGAGUAUAGCUUGGCCACCUAUCAGUAACAGACGAUUUCCGGCGAAAAUUGUGUGAUUGGCAUAUGCCAACAAAAAGAACCUGUGGCUAGCUAGCACUAAUAUUGCAGCCGCAGGGACCUUUUCGUGCAGUGUAGUGUCUUUACCCUCACUACCAUCUUUGGCAGUGUCGCUGUUCACGUCUGAGGUGUGGAAUCUAAUCUACGAACAUACUGGUGUAAAAAGCAUAUGAAGAACAACACUUGGCUGAGUAUGUCAGAAAGCUAGUGAGUUCAACGGAAGGGAAAAACGGAAAGUCUCCUUAAAGAAGCCGUCUCAUCCUCUGGAAGUUUCACGACUUAUCUUCAAAAAUGGAACUGGUUUGGACACCCCUGCAUUAUAUCGCUGUCGAUAUUGGCCUCUCUGCCUUCACACAGUGACCUCCUGCUGGCCACUGCUUGUUUGUUGCACCUCCACUGGGCUGCAGGCUGAAAUAAAGAUCACACGUGAGUUCAAUGUACACACGCCGUCCACCCACUCGUGUUCCAAACAGGACCGGACUAUCUCGGCUGACCAGCAGCCUGAGAGAAAGGCCUUUGUGCGGUGUGACAGGUGGAGCCGGAAUGUCAAAGGCCUACAUUGUGCGAGGGCGGAGGGGGUAAAGGUGCAGGGGACAUUAUGCAAAUAAAACAUGCAUCUUCACGUUCAAAUAUAGAUUCACAAGCGCUCGUUACAAGCAUCGCCUCCAGUGCACAGUAGCAUGCAUGUUCGUGUUGGAUAAUCACUAUUUUCACACCCACGUGUUGCUCGUCUGAGGCAUUCUGUGGGCGCAUAAAUAUAUACUUUCACCCAAAAAUAAUCAUUACUGGAAGAUAACGUUGCUGUUCAUGUGGCACUUUCCAAUCGACAUAAAUAUAGUUCUUGUGACAAUAUCCUGACAGUGUGCUUCAUUGGACACUAAGUAAAGCUAUCUUGAGUACAGGAGUGAGGGUGGACAACAAUGACACAGCAGCAUAUUUGAAAAGCAAUGUUUGCCUACGUAGGCAAUAUAAUUCCUGCCAUCUGACCUGCACCUCUCAUUGUUUUCUGAUGAUGACACAUUACCACGCUGUGUGCAUAGUCACAUGACAGCACUUUACCCCCUGUCUCGUCUUACAGGACUGUUGUCACAUUAGUGAUUUAAA
This is a non-coding RNA of Doryrhamphus excisus (bluestripe pipefish), 1361 nucleotides long. NCBI's taxonomy places the organism in Eukaryota, Metazoa, Chordata, Actinopteri, Syngnathiformes, Syngnathidae. The record is from RefSeq and is a predicted model, not a curated record.